This 1489-nucleotide ribosomal RNA is filed under the name Lactiplantibacillus pentosus. RNAcentral describes it as "bacterial SSU rRNA". It matches the Rfam family "Bacterial small subunit ribosomal RNA". The record is from RNAcentral. Lineage: Bacteria; Bacillati; Bacillota; Bacilli; Lactobacillales; Lactobacillaceae.
GACGAGCGCUGGCGGCGUGCCUAAUACAUGCAAGUCGAACGAACUCUGGUAUUGAUUGGUGCUUGCAUCAUGAUUUACAUUUGAGUGAGUGGCGAACUGGUGAGUAACACGUGGGAAACCUGCCCAGAAGCGGGGGAUAACACCUGGAAACAGAUGCUAAUACCGCAUAACAACUUGGACCGCAUGGUCCGAGUUUGAAAGAUGGCUUCGGCUAUCACUUUUGGAUGGUCCCGCGGCGUAUUAGCUAGAUGGUGGGGUAACGGCUCACCAUGGCAAUGAUACGUAGCCGACCUGAGAGGGUAAUCGGCCACAUUGGGACUGAGACACGGCCCAAACUCCUACGGGAGGCAGCAGUAGGGAAUCUUCCACAAUGGACGAAAGUCUGAUGGAGCAACGCCGCGUGAGUGAAGAAGGGUUUCGGCUCGUAAAACUCUGUUGUUAAAGAAGAACAUAUCUGAGAGUAACUGUUCAGGUAUUGACGGUAUUUAACCAGAAAGCCACGGCUAACUACGUGCCAGCAGCCGCGGUAAUACGUAGGUGGCAAGCGUUGUCCGGAUUUAUUGGGCGUAAAGCGAGCGCAGGCGGUUUUUUAAGUCUGAUGUGAAAGCCUUCGGCUCAACCGAAGAAGUGCAUCGGAAACUGGGAAACUUGAGUGCAGAAGAGGACAGUGGAACUCCAUGUGUAGCGGUGAAAUGCGUAGAUAUAUGGAAGAACACCAGUGGCGAAGGCGGCUGUCUGGUCUGUAACUGACGCUGAGGCUCGAAAGUAUGGGUAGCAAACAGGAUUAGAUACCCUGGUAGUCCAUACCGUAAACGAUGAGUGCUAAGUGUUGGAGGGUUUCCGCCCUUCAGUGCUGCAGCUAACGCAUUAAGCAUUCCGCCUGGGGAGUACGGCCGCAAGGCUGAAACUCAAAGGAAUUGACGGGGGCCCGCACAAGCGGUGGAGCAUGUGGUUUAAUUCGAAGCUACGCGAAGAACCUUACCAGGUCUUGACAUACUAUGCAAAUCUAAGAGAUUAGACGUUCCCUUCGGGGACAUGGAUACAGGUGGUGCAUGGUUGUCGUCAGCUCGUGUCGUGAGAUGUUGGGUUAAGUCCCGCAACGAGCGCAACCCUUAUUAUCAGUUGCCAGCAUUAAGUUGGGCACUCUGGUGAGACUGCCGGUGACAAACCGGAGGAAGGUGGGGAUGACGUCAAAUCAUCAUGCCCCUUAUGACCUGGGCUACACACGUGCUACAAUGGAUGGUACAACGAGUUGCGAACUCGCGAGAGUAAGCUAAUCUCUUAAAGCCAUUCUCAGUUCGGAUUGUAGGCUGCAACUCGCCUACAUGAAGUCGGAAUCGCUAGUAAUCGCGGAUCAGCAUGCCGCGGUGAAUACGUUCCCGGGCCUUGUACACACCGCCCGUCACACCAUGAGAGUUUGUAACACCCAAAGUCGGUGGGGUAACCUUUUAGGAACCAGCCGCCUAAGGUGGGACAGAUGAUUAGGGUG